RNAcentral lists this ribosomal RNA (253 nucleotides) under uncultured bacterium. RNAcentral's name for it is "partial 16S ribosomal RNA". It matches the Rfam family "Bacterial small subunit ribosomal RNA", at positions 524 to 776 of the family's 1533-position model. The record is from RNAcentral.
UACGGAGGGUGCAAGCGUUAAUCGGAAUUAUUGGGCGUAAAGAGCUCGUAGGUGGUUUGCUGCGUCCGCUGUGAAAACCCAAGGCUUAACCUUGGGCUUGCAGUGGAUACGGGCAGACUAGAGGUAGGUAGGGGAGAAUGGAAUUCCCGGUGUAGCGGUGAAAUGCGCAGAUAUCGGGAGGAACACCGGUGGCGAAGGCGGUUCUCUGGGCCUUACCUGACACUGAGGAGCGAAAGCGUGGGGAGCGAACAGG